GGUUUCCGUAGGUGAACCUGCGGAAGGAUCAUUACUGUGAUUUAGUACUACACUGCGUGAGCGGAACGAAAACAAAAACACCUAAAAUGUGGAAUAUAGCAUAUAGUCGACAAGAGAAAUCUACGAAAAACAAACAAAACUUUCAACAACGGAUCUCUUGGUUCUCGCAUCGAUGAAGAGCGCAGCGAAAUGCGAUACCUAGUGUGAAUUGCAGCCAUCGUGAAUCAUCGAGUUCUUGAACGCACAUUGCGCCCCUCGGCAUUCCGGGGGGCAUGCCUGUUUGAGCGUCGUUUCCAUCUUGCGCGUGCGCAGAGUUGGGGGAGCGGAGCGGACGACGUGUAAAGAGCGUCGGAGCUGCGACUCGCCUGAAAGGGAGCGAAGCUGGCCGAGCGAACUAGACUUUUUUUCAGGGACGCUUGGCGGCCGAGAGCGAGUGUUGCGAGACAACAAAAAGCUCGACCUCAAAUCAGGUAGGAAUACCCGCUGAACUU
Molecule: ribosomal RNA, 491 nt
Filed under: Pichia kudriavzevii
Lineage: Eukaryota; Fungi; Ascomycota; Pichiomycetes; Pichiales; Pichiaceae
Description: eukaryotic LSU rRNA
Rfam family: 5.8S ribosomal RNA (bases 138-290)
Source: RNAcentral